AGGGGCGCAGCAGUGGGGAAUCUUCCGCAAUGGGCGAAAGCCUGACGGAGCAACGCCGCGUGAACGAAGAAGGCCUUCGGGUCAUAAAGUUCUGUCCUCAGGGAAGAACCCUCAUGGUAGGGAAUGACCAUGAGCUGACGGUACCUGGGAAGGAAGCCCUGGCUAACUACGUGCCAGCAGCCGCGGUAAUACGUAGAGGGCAAGCGUUGUCCGGAAUCACUGGGCGUAAAGGGUACGUAGGCGGAUAUAUAAGUCAAAUGUGAAAGGCACCGGCUUAACCGGUGAGCUGCAUUUGAAACUGUAUAUCUUGAGUUCAGGAGAGGAGAGCGGAAUUCCUGGUGUAGCGGUGGAAUGCGUAGAUAUCAGGAAGAACACCAGUGGCGAAGGCGGCUCUCUGGCCUGAAACUGACGCUCAGGUACGAAAGCUGGGGUAGCAAACGGGAUUAGAUACCCCGGUAGUCCCAGCCGUAAACGAUGGACACUAGGUGUUGGGGGUUCGAAUCCUUCAGUGCCGAAGUUAACGCAUUAAGUGUCCCGCCUGGGGAGUACGGUCGCAAGACUGAAACUCAAAGGAAUUGGCGGGGGAGCACA
Molecule: ribosomal RNA, 591 nt
Filed under: uncultured archaeon
Lineage: Archaea
Description: bacterial SSU rRNA
Rfam family: Bacterial small subunit ribosomal RNA
Source: RNAcentral